Molecule: ribosomal RNA, 429 nt
Filed under: uncultured bacterium
Lineage: Bacteria
Description: bacterial SSU rRNA
Rfam family: Bacterial small subunit ribosomal RNA
Source: RNAcentral
ACUCCUACGGGAGGCAGCAGUGGGGAAUCUUCGGCAAUGGGCGCAAGCCUGACCGAGCCAUGCCGCGUGAGUGAUGAAGGUUUUCGGAUUGUAAAGCUCUUUCGUCGGGGACGAUAAUGACGGUACCCGAAGAAGAAGCCCCGGCUAACUUCGUGCCAGCAGCCGCGGUAAUACGAAGGGGCUAGCGUUGUUCGGAAUUACUGGGCGUAAAGCGCGCGUAGGCGGAUCGUUAAGUCAGGGGUGAAAUCCCGGGGCUCAACCCCGGAACUGCCCUUGAUCACUGGCGGUCUUGAGUGUGAGAGAGGCGAGUGGAAUUCCGAGUGUAGAGGUGAAAUUCGUAGAUAUUCGGAGGAACACCAGUGGCGAAGGCGGCUCGCUGGCUCACAACUGACGCUGAGGCGCGAAAGCGUGGGGAGCAAACAGGAGUUA